UUGUGCUCACUUUGCCACACAUUUACUAAAACUGGAAAGAUAAGGAGAAGAUUAUCAUGGCCCUGUGGCAAUGAUGACACAUAAGCUCUUGAAGUAUUCAUAUGUUUG
Pipistrellus kuhlii (Kuhl's pipistrelle) is the source of this 108-nucleotide small nuclear RNA. NCBI's taxonomy places the organism in Eukaryota, Metazoa, Chordata, Mammalia, Chiroptera, Vespertilionidae. The record is from RefSeq and is a predicted model, not a curated record.